Molecule: small nucleolar RNA, 131 nt
Organism: Sorex araneus (European shrew)
Lineage: Eukaryota; Metazoa; Chordata; Mammalia; Eulipotyphla; Soricidae
Source: Ensembl
CGUCUCCUUGUGCUCCCCAUAGACUGUGUUCUUGACACCCACCGGGUAGAAAGAGAAAGCACAGUAUCCCUACCCCGUGUCCACGCUCAGCCUGGGCCCUUUGCCCAGUCUAUAUUGUGAAUGAAUCUGAG